AAAAACAUAGCCUUUAGCCAAACAAGUAUUAAAGGUCUAGCCUGCCCAGUGAAUUAUUUCAACGGCCGCGGUAUCCUAACCGUGCAAAGGUAGCGUAAUCAUUUGUCUUCUAAAUAGAGACUUGUAUGAACGGCUAACUGAGGGCCCAACUGUCUCCUUAGGCCAAUCAAUGAAACUGAUCUUUCAGUACAAAAGCUGAAAUAAACACAUAAGACGAGAAGACCCUGUGGAGCUUAAAACCUACACUAUAAACGCCCAUCCAUCCCUAAAGGGACACCUCCCUCCCCAUAGUAAAAAGUUUUYAGUUGGGGCGACUUUGGAACAAAACAGAACUUCCAUGCCAGGGACCCCUCCCUAUAAAGGCUUACAUGCCAAAAUAAUACUCUUUUGACCCAGCCUGUCUGAUCAACGAACCAAGUUACCCCAGGGAUAACAGCGCCAUCCUCUUCAAGAGUUCCUAUCGACAAGAGGGUUUACGACCUCGAUGUUGGAUCAGGACACCCCGGUGGUGUAGCCGCUACCAAAGGUUCGUUUGUUCAACGAUUAACAGU
Molecule: ribosomal RNA, 551 nt
Filed under: Woodworthia maculata (Raukawa gecko)
Lineage: Eukaryota; Metazoa; Chordata; Lepidosauria; Squamata; Diplodactylidae
Description: partial 16S ribosomal RNA
Rfam family: Bacterial large subunit ribosomal RNA
Source: RNAcentral